RNAcentral lists this ribosomal RNA (489 nucleotides) under uncultured soil bacterium. RNAcentral describes it as "bacterial SSU rRNA". It matches the Rfam family "Bacterial small subunit ribosomal RNA", at positions 8 to 495 of the family's 1533-position model. The record is from RNAcentral.
AGAGUUUGAUCCUGGCUCAGGACGAACGUUGGCGGCGUGCUUAAUACAUGCAAGUCGACUGAAGCUCGGGUAGCAAUAUCUGAGUGGAGGUGGCGCACGGGUGAGUAACACGUAGGUAAUCUGCCCAAAGGUCUGACAUAACUCCGGGAAACCGAAGCUAAUAUCAGAUGAUGCAGCGGCUCGACAUCGAGACAGUUGUUAAAGAUUUAUCGCCUUUGGAUGAGCCUGCGUCUGAUUAGCUAGUUGGCGGGGUAAAAGCCCACCAAGGCAACGAUCAGUAGCUGGUCUGAGAGGAUGAUCAGCCACACUGGAACUGAGAUACGGUCCAGACUCCUACGGGAGGCAGCAGUAAGGAAUAUUGCUCAAUGGCCGAAAGGCUGAAGCAGCAACGCUGCGUGAGGGAUGAAGGGCUUUUGCUUGUAAACCUCUGUAACAGGGGAAAAAACCCCCCGAACUUCGGGGGUAUGAUGGUACCUGAGAGAAGCUCCC